Molecule: non-coding RNA, 328 nt
Organism: Ictidomys tridecemlineatus (thirteen-lined ground squirrel)
Lineage: Eukaryota; Metazoa; Chordata; Mammalia; Rodentia; Sciuridae
Source: RefSeq, a predicted model, not a curated record
AAGAAGUUAAGGGUCCUUAAUGAGGGCAGAACCCUGGUGAAGCUGAAUGUCAACUCCCAGGGAAAUAAGGAGCACAGCAAACCCAGAAAACCUCCAGUGGUAGGAGAUCCCAUCAUCAACUCCCAGGGAAAUAAGGAACACAGCAAACCCAGAAAACCUCCAGGUCAGAGUGGAGUCAAGGACCUCUAUUGCUAUUGCUCUAUCAUGUGAAGAUUCUUCAAGAAGUCAGCAGUCCAACAUCCCUCACCAGAACCUGACCGUAUUGGCAUCCUGAUCAUGGAUACUCAGCCUCUAGAACUAUGAGAAAUGAAUAUUUAUCAUUUACGUA